RNAcentral lists this long non-coding RNA (8334 nucleotides) under Homo sapiens (human). Its description in RNAcentral is "HSALNT0333222". Lineage: Eukaryota; Metazoa; Chordata; Mammalia; Primates; Hominidae. The record is from RNAcentral.
UGAAAAAUGCCUGAGUUGGAGUUAGCUAAAUGGAGGUGUGGUUGAGUGAGAGGGGCCAUGAUUAGCAAAAGAAAGAGCUUGAGCCAAGAGGUGAAAGCAAGAAAGUGUAUCCUGAAGGACAUAGAAGGGACAAGAGGCAGGAAGGCUUUCUCUGGUAUCCUAAAGAGUUUGGGCUUGACCCUGGAUGGAGAACUGCUAGGAGAAUUUGGGUAAGGCAAAGACACAACUAUUACAUUUUAGAAAAAAAUGAUACCACUGGCAAUACAGAAAAUGUAUCAAAGUUGAAGCCACUGGGUACAUCAUGGUUCAAGUCGCUGAGAAUGAGAACUGAUAGAGACCUAAGGGGGUGGCAAGUAGAGGGGAAUUCAUGAUGAACUCAGUUUGGAAUAUGUUGAAUUCACAUAUUCAGAGAAAUGUUUAGGGUAGUGGGGAAGACAAGAUUUGGGCAUAAGAGAGAGAAGAAAAAUUUGAGAGGUUGAGAUUGUGCAGUGCUUUAUCAUAGCAUGUAUGAUCUCUUGACACAUUCUUUAUUUCAUGUCUUCCCUGACUAGAAAUAAACUUCACGAGGGUGAGAACUUUGCUUUAUUUCCACCAUCUAGAACUGUGCCUGAACCACAGGGAGCACUCAGGAAAAAUUUACUGAAAAGAUGAAUUAUUCAGAAUUGUAGUUGAAAAGGUGUCUUCAGAGGAGUUUACUUACAUGCAGUGGACAUGAAAUAGGGCAUAGAGUGAAACCGUAGGCAAAACAUUGGGUGGAUAAUGUCAUUUGAUGCCAAAAAAGAAGCACUGAGGAAUUAGGAAAAACAAGAGAUAAUGAGGUCCCAGGUGACAAUGGAAGCAGUUGUGGAAAACUGCUUUAAAUGUCAUAGAGCACUCAGAAGGAAUUCAUAAAUGACCUCAUAAAGAAGUCCACUGUGGUUUCCCUGCAGAGGUGGGAAUAGAAUCAGAGUGCUAAGGAUUGAGGGAUUAAGAGGAGGUGAUUGUAUUAUUCCUCUUUUCAGAUAAUGGAGAGAGAGAAGAGAACAGCAGUAGCCGUUGCCAGAAAUAUUGAGCAAGGCGGAUUUAUUAGAUGAAGAUAUCAAAAUACUUUCCAUUGAGGAAACAGGUUGGAGGUGGGAGGCUGUAACCAUGCUUGAUUUUGUACCACCCUAACCUUUGCUUGUAAGUAUACUUUUUGAAAACCCAUUUUAUUGAACUGAAAUGUAUUUUGUUCUGAAGGGUUGAAAAAGGCUAAAGAAGUGGGAAGGAAUUUUUGUUAAACCUUAUACAAUAAGGGAAAAUUUUCCAGCAACAUGGAAAGACAUCAGAAUUGAAAUCCUAGUGAACUACUAACUAUGUGAAAUGGACAAGUGGCUUAUUAUUCCAAUUUUACAGAAAAGAAAAAUGAGACAUAAAUGUUAACAUCUAUGUGUAUGAUGAUUACGUGAGAUAAAUUUGGGUCUCUAUUUUGAGUGUUUUGUGGGCAGGAAUGGAUUAGGACUUUCUAAAAUAUUAAAUGGGCCAAUCUAAAUAUGUGAUCAAAAUUUUUCAGAGGUAUAUUUUGUGGUAUUUACAGCAAGAUGAGAAUGUAUUUUAAAUUGAUCUUUGAUCAUAUUUUUAUCUUUUAAACAUGUUCUGCCUCAUUUUCUCUGUAAUAAUAACUAUAAUUAUAUCCAUUCCUCAUUAUAAAGCUGCUCUUUUUUCUUUUCUGACAUUCUGCCUUCAUCGACUAAUGGUGGUGAGGCUACUACCUCCUGAGGUUACUUAUAAAAUUAAAGCGAUUGGGAAGGAAUGUUACAUGCAGUCCACAUUGUAUGUGAUACCGAGAGGAGACAGGAGGGCAGAGUCCCUGAUGAGAGCUCCACCCUUAAGCCUGGACCCGUGGCCCUGAAUGAGAACAGGCAUUGCUGCUUUCCUGCCCAAAGGCUGCUUUUUCCAAAACCACCGUGGCCCACCAUGUCCCCUAUCCUGUACCUAUAAAAACCCCAAACUCCACUGGCAGAGGAAUAGAGUGGCACAGCAGAGAAGGAAAGAAUAGAAGUGUCUGAAUGUCAAAGAGGGAGCUGGACAGUCAGAGAGGAGUUUGGCUGGGGACAGCUGAGCUCCAGGGGAAGAUCAUCUUCCCACUCCAUCCCCUUUCCAGCCCCCCAACCCACAAAGAGCCACCUCCAUCAUUCAGUAAAACCUCUGCAUUCACCAUCCUUCAAGUCCAUGUGACCUGAUUCUUCUUGUACUCUGGACAAAAAUCCAGGUUCCAAGAGGGCAGGGUAUAUGUCACCCUGAUUCUCCACGGGACUGUUUAACACUUAGCCCUCUGUGGACAGCAACUGCUAAAAGAGCAUUAAUUGUAACACAUGCCCUCUGGGGCUCCAGAGGUUGUGCGCAACUGCUAGAUGCUGCCCCUGGCGCCCAAAGGCACUAGCCCUGGUUCCCAUACCCACUUACCUGCAUGCUCCCACUCCUGCAAGGGGCUUGAGUUCAGCAACAAAGCAAAACAAGCUACCACCAACCCUCCACACCCUCCCUGUGGCAAGACUCGCAAGAGGGUCAGGGAACUCUCCCCCGUCAUAUGCGUUAUUCCAGUUUAGUUACCUACAAAAUAAACUUGCCAGAAUUAGUGUUUACUACAUAAGCUAAGCACCUAUUUCAACAUGUGUGAGCUUCUAAAAAGCAAAUCAAUGCUCUUCUGUCCAAUUUUGGCCAAGGCUUCAUGAUCUCUUUCCUUAAAACAUCAACUUAAAUUUUACCAUUACUUUUCUCUCUUCCUUCCCCUUAUCCUAUUUAACUAUUAUUAGAGACAUUUUAAAAAAAUUCCUUUCCUUUUCCAUGCUUGGUUUCCUCAAUAGCGAUUUUAUAUAGAAAACAUUUGACAUUAUAGUCUAGCUUUUCAUAGUUAAAAUUAAAUAUUUCAUUAAAAAGAGGAGUCUAUUUUUUCAGACUUGUAGGGCUCUGGGAAGUGGACUUAUGAAAAAAAUGACUUUGUAUUUAUUUACAGAUAAAUAACCAUGUGUCUGUAAUUAGUAAGAGAUCCACUGUAUGUAAUUUAUCUUUUUCUUAUGUGUUACCUGUUAAAGAUGACCUUGUGUUUCCCGACAUGCUGUCAAGUGAAAGAUUUUGUAAGAAUCCUUCUAUAUUCCUACAUUAUUUUAUUGCAUUGCUCAUCAAUUUUGCAUUUUCUCCCUCUCUUAUGAUCCUAGCCUUUCCUUUAUUAGAAGUAAUUAUCUAGUUCAUAGAAAAUUGUUUAAUUUGGUUAUUUUCAUUACUUCAAAGAGAAAUUCUAAUGUAGAACGAUUUGUUUAUAUAUCUCUUGCAGACUCAAAAUACACACCACUAUUAUAAAAACCUUCCCUGCCUAGCUCAUAUUUCCCCCGACUCCUACCCCAUGGUUCCCUAGCUUAUUGAAUGUACUCAUAGCAUCUCUUUUAGUCUGUAUUGCUAUCAUGUGUUUUUCUAAUCUGUUCCCCAUAGUAACAGUGAAAUCCUUGAGGGCACGAGUCUUAUCUUUUUCAACUCUAUUUUCAGCACCUCGCAUUGUGAGUUGGUGUAAGUAGUUCAGUAAAUAACUGUAGAUGUCAAAAUAAAUAAAUGUCAGCUAAUUUUUAUGUAUAUUCAAAGAUAAAAUUUUAUUUAUUGUCAUAAUUACCUUUACCCAAUCUAUUUUUUAUUGUUUGUUUCAAAUUACACCAAUAAAAAUGUGACAAUAACCAUGCUCAUCCUUAGACUAACACCAAUGUUUAGAAGCAGUUUCACCAUAUAGUUCCAUUUUUAAAAAAUUCUAAAUAUUUGCUAUAUUCUUUAAUUGAGUCUUCCCAAAGCAAUCUUUGAACUAAUUGUUGGUUUCUCAGAUUUCUAUUUUGUUAUCUUUAAGACACUCUUUAAAUCUCAUCAAAAAUCUUCAUGGAAAUUAAUUACAUUGUACCCAAACGUUAUAAAAUCUUACCAUUUAAAGAUACUUUAGAGUUCAUUUGAACUAUUCUUCAAAGAAUUAGCAAUGAAGUUCUUUUGGAUUGAUUGAUAUUCAUGUACCCAAGAAAGAUAGGUAGAAUAUUAAUUCAUUUUAUUAUUUCCAAAGAGAAGGUGUGAAAAUAAACUAGAACACAGUUGAGUUGGCAGAACUGAGUUUGUGUUUACAAAACUGAAAAGGCUGGACCACAAUGUGGUUUACUGGUGAUAUAUUAAUUUAGAUAACAAUUAAAUCUCGGAGACUUACCAUAUUGAAAGUUUAUUUUUUGGUUUACACAAAUCUGAUAUACUGGAUAGGGGCUUUUCUCCUUUCAUUUACUCAAGGAUCCAGGUUCCAGUCCAAUAUGCACCAUUCAGCCUGGUUGCAGCAUGUUAAGCAGCCCUGGAGGCAGCAGAUGAGGGAUCCUAUGAAGCAACUUUCAGACAUUCAGAACCAAGACAAAAAAAAAGAGAAUUAAAGUAAAAUAUGAUGUACCCAGGAGUUACAUCAGUGAACCAAAUACAGCCUCAAAUUUCGAUCUGUGCUUCACAGCAGCCAGCAAAAAGAACAAAACAUAUUUUGUUAGUUCAUAUAAAUAAAUAAAUUAAAAAUGCAUGAAUAAAUAAAUAAAGCAAACCAGUUUCUCGAUUCUGAAAUAUUUUCUGGAAGUGAGAACUGAAAGGAAUUUCCACCAUGGACCCACAAGCAGUUGUUGGUGGCAUAUAUAAUGAGUGCUGGGUGUUAAGGAAGCAAUGGUGAAGGAGAGACACCCUCCCGACCCUCAUGGUGCUUGCAGCCUAGUGGAGCUAUGAAAAGAUAGGCAAGUGAGUCCUAUGAUUGGAGAAGUAAUGAGAAGUAAUGAGAAGCGUCUUCUAAGCAUAGGGGUAAAGACUGCAAAGACCCUGAAGGGAGAAAGUAAUGGCCAUUCUGAGAACUGAAAGUUUGCACAGUGCACAGAGGGCAUGAAGAACGAAGGAAAGAGAUUUUUUUUUUUUUUUUUUUGCCCAAGAUGGCAAGUUGCUUAAAACCUAAAGCUCCUUUCAAUUCUUUACAAUCCAAGAUUAUAUGGAAUGGACUGGGAACAAAGAGAGGGACUGGCAUUUAAAGUCUUUUAUACACUUUGGAACAAAUGUUAUUCUCCAUUCAUCCUGACACUAAAUUGGUUAGCCAAACCCAAAGAUCUACUAAUAAUCCUGCUUUGGCAUGGGAGAAUGAGUGAGAUAAGGAGGCAAUAGAGGAGAUGAAUCGACAAAUGGAAGGAAUAGAAUUCUGGUUGAUGUCCUUGUCUCUAAGCUGUAGCAGCAAGUAUUUAUCCUAAUCAUGUGGUGUUAGCACGGAGAUGAGAAAGAGAGAAAGACAACAUCAUGCUUUGCUGUCUGUGUGUGAACUGAGUAACAGCUGUGAAGGAUCAGUCACCAAAAGACUUUGAAAGAAGAGGCUUGAUUGGUCACGGUAAUGAUGCUCCCCUGGCCAUGGAAGUUUAAUUGGGAGAAAAGAACAUCUGCUUAUACGAAAACAUAUUAUAUUCAGCCAUCCCUGCCCUGACUUUGGCCUUUAAAAACAGUGGCAUUAAUUAUCUCAACAAAUGAAUCUUCGGGAUAAAAAUAAUCUAAAUAUUAUUUUACGCUUACUACAUAUUUGCAACGUGCUAAGCUCUUUAUGGUUGCUACCACAAAAAACAUUUAUAAUAUGAGGUUGUUUCCGUAUUUUGGCUAUUGUGAAUAGUGCUGCAAUAAACAUGGAAGUGCUGAUAUAUCUUUGAGAUCUUGACUUCAAACAAAAGAAGAAAAUCUUGCAAUAUAUGACAACACGGAUUAACCUGGAGGACAUUGUGCUUAGUGAAGUUAGCCAGUCACAGACUGACAAGUACUGCACGAUUCCACUUAUGAAGACUACAGUUCCUAUCUUCACAGGUGGCUGUUAGCUCUAAAUGAACUCAUUUAUUUUGAAAGCAUGAUUUAAAGUAUAGUUUUAAACUAUAAGCAUUUCAGAAGUGAUGACCCAUGACUCAAAUCUCAAAAAUAAAUGCUACAGUUCACAGUUGGAAUAUGGACACAAGAAAAAUAAUAGGUGAGUAAAAAAAGAAUUUUUACCACAGAACAAAAGUUUAUUAAACACAAUUAUGAAUGAAUAUUAAUGUCAACAGAGUGCUUUUUAGAUGCCUCCUAAGCUUUGUAUGCACCUAAAAGAGAUACAAGUCAGCUCAGCUGCUAAGGAAUAGGCAGACCAGAAUGCAGUCAGAGAAAUAAACAGUUGAACAGAUAAUUCCAAAAGGAUGUGAUAAGUGUUAUGGGGGGAAUUCGGAGAAAGUGCCGAGGCAUCACACAGGAGAGACCAGCUGUCCCUGGCAUAGCUGGUGGAGAUCUUAUUAAACAACGAUACUAAGGCUGACUCUUGACUAUGAAACGAAUUUCACAGAGAAACAAGCAAAAAAGCAAUAGAAAUAUUAAUUUGUGUACCCUAUUUCAUGACAAUUAUAUACAAAAACAGAACGUUCAAAGCCUUAGGCAAUAAAACUGAUAUUUCUUGCAACAGGCUUUGGCCAAAAAAGAGUGCAGUUCUGUGAUGAAUAUCAGCUUCAUCAACAUGCCCCAGGCACCGUGAUGUCCCUCCUCUGCUCUGCUGCAUAACAGGGUGGAGACCAAAUCCAACAGUAUGAACAAGCAUCCAUCAAAACCACAGUUCUAUUAUUGAGACCAUUUCUGAUUGAAUUUCCUCAGCAGACUAUCCAAGUCGUCAUGUUCAUCAAGGUAUUCAAUUUAAAUGACCAUUAAAACGAAAUUAAGUUGGUAUUAACCUUGUCUUUUCAGAUGAUGCCACUGAAAGGUAAACAUACCAUUCUGACAUGCAUGAAAAUGAAACGACAAAUUGAUACACGCAGUGCUUGGAAUGGAUGGAGUCCUUCUAAUGAGUGAUUACCUGUGGUAUAACUAUAUUGAUUGUGUUUGUACAUGUCAAAUGGGGCUGGCGAGGAUGAACUUGAAGAAAUCAAUCUUGGAACCUGCUAGGACAGCAGCCUCCUGGUUUCACAGUACUAAAUCAUGACUUCAAAAUUUUGAAGUAAAAGAAAACUGCAAAACUUUGUAAAGGUACCAGUCUCUUCCUGACACUAUUUGCCUUGGCAAAAGAUUCACUGUCAACUUAAAAGACUAACAUGUGCUCAGAUGAUGAUUUGUGGAGGACAGAUAAUUAUGAGUACAUUUAGAAAUACACACUCUUCCAAACCCUGCUCUUUCCAUAUAAUGAAGUUAUUUAUUUCUAUUUUUUAUUUAUUUUUCUAAUAAUUACAAACAUACUUUGGAGACCCACAUUCCUGUAUUAUUCUUUCAACAUACUGAAGAAGAGUUAUUUCUAUGCUUCUUUCUAUGUGUUGGGCUUAAGAUUUAUUAGAAGGAAUGUGUAAAAACAAAGGCAGCAAAGUUUCUAUUUUUAUUGGGAGUCACUCCCGGAGUAAGUGGGGAUAGUUGUGCACACACACACACACACAUUCAUGCACAAAGAAAGAGUGAUCAAGUGUAUAACACACUUUUAGCAGUGUUUUGCUGGAAGAAUAAAGUAUAACUCCUUGUCCGCCCUUUUAUUAUACUGGGGUUCACACUAAGAGAGUCUGAGGACCUGUGGAACUCCCAUUUGCAUGAAAUAACUUUUGCAUCUAUUCUGGAGGAAAACUUCCUAAGGCAGAUUUGGACAGAAAAUUGCUAUCAGCGCAAAUAAAACAAUGCAAAGCCUACUCCGGGGAACGUUGCUCUGCCACCACUACUGAAAUGGGUCAUCCCCUUGGUUUCUGAAUAAAGAAUUAUGAAACCUGGGGCUAGAAUGCUCAGGGAGGAAUUUACCAAUCCAAAUCUUCCCCUUAUGGUAGAGAACAAACUUUCAAGGUUUGUUCUCCACUGUAAGUGUGCGAGGGCUGUUAGGGACCGUAAUAUGGCUGCCGGAGACUGGUGUGUGUACCUCCUUGACUGUACGUCUCAUUUCCAGUUAUGAUUUUACAAUCAUCUCUUUCUCAACCUUUGCUUUUAAAUAUAGGAAGGUACGGCUCACCAUGGAGCGGACAUUUUCUUCAGGAGCGGUACGGUGUCUAAGAUAUGCAGAGGUUGUAUUCUAGUCCUAUAACUCAAUUCUCAAACACAUGGCUUUUAGCCAGGGAUAUCCUAAAGGAAAAUUACACUAUAUGCAACCCCUCCUUACUCCUCAAAUAUUAUCUAUAUUAAACACAGCUGAAAUUUGAGAGUGUCCUUACAGGUGAAAAUUUAACAAUUUAACAAAAGGACACUGCUGAAUGUGUGGGGACAAAGGAAGGAUGAAUCUUUCAUCAUGACAAAAGACUACUUGCCACAUUCUCCCUUAACUUAGAAAAACAGAAAAGAGGCUGGGCGUGGUGGCUCCUGCCUGUAACCUCAGCACUUUGGGAG